RNAcentral lists this ribosomal RNA (450 nucleotides) under uncultured bacterium. Its description in RNAcentral is "bacterial SSU rRNA". It matches the Rfam family "Bacterial small subunit ribosomal RNA", at positions 355 to 796 of the family's 1533-position model. The record is from RNAcentral.
UGGGGAAUUGUUCGCAAUGGGCGCAAGCCUGACGACGCAACGCCGCGUGGAGGAUGAAGACCUUCGGGUCGUAAACUCCUUUCGAUCGAGACGAAUGGCUUCCGGGUGAACAAUCCGGGAGAAUGACGGUACCGAGAGAAGAAGCCCCGGCUAACUCCGUGCCAGCAGCCGCGGUAAUACGGGGGGGGCAAGCGUUGUUCGGAAUUACUGGGCGUAAAGGGCUCGUAGGCGGCCAACUAAGUCAGACGUGAAAUCCCUCGGCUUAACCGGGGAACUGCGUCUGAUACUGGAUGGCUUGAGAUUGGGAGAGGGAUGCGGAAUUCCAGGUGUAGCGGUGAAAUGCGUAGAUAUCUGGAGGAACACCGGUGGCGAAGGCGGCAUCCUGGACCAACACUGACGCUGAGGAGCGAAAGCCAGGGGAGCAAACGGGAUUAGAUACCCCUGUAGUCC